AGUAGGAAUAGGGUUUCAAAAUUCUGAUUUUUGUCAUAGCGGCUCCUUGAGCGGUACACUUAGCUUGGCUUCACCCAUCCUAGACGAAGUCACAGGGAUGACAAAGAUGGACAAGAAUAGGAAAAAAUCUAGAGGACAUAGUUCUCGAGAGCCUACGGAUAUGCAGGACCAAGAGAUGGAUAUAAAGAAGAUUAUGAAAGAUGUUG
Molecule: long non-coding RNA, 206 nt
Organism: Vigna unguiculata (cowpea)
Lineage: Eukaryota; Viridiplantae; Streptophyta; Magnoliopsida; Fabales; Fabaceae
Source: RefSeq, a predicted model, not a curated record